This 253-nucleotide ribosomal RNA is filed under the name uncultured bacterium. Its description in RNAcentral is "partial 16S ribosomal RNA". It matches the Rfam family "Bacterial small subunit ribosomal RNA", at positions 524 to 776 of the family's 1533-position model. The record is from RNAcentral.
UACGUAGGGUGCGAGCGUUGUCCGGAUUUAUUGGGCGUAAAGAGCUCGUAGGCGGCUCGUCGCGUCGUCCGUGAAAACCCGCGGCUUAACCGCGGGCUUGCGGUUGAUACGGGCGGGCUAGAGUUCGGUAGGGGAGACUGGAAUUCCUGGUGUAGCGGUGAAAUGCGCAGAUAUCAGGAGGAACACCGGUGGCGAAGGCGGGUCUCUGGGCCGAUACUGACGCUGAGGAGCGAAAGCGUGGGGAGCGAACAGG